Molecule: non-coding RNA, 45 nt
Filed under: Schistosoma mansoni
Lineage: Eukaryota; Metazoa; Platyhelminthes; Trematoda; Strigeidida; Schistosomatidae
Source: RNAcentral
UUCUAGCUGACAAGUCCCGAAUAGGACGAAACGCGCAUCCUGGAU